Molecule: long non-coding RNA, 2125 nt
Organism: Alligator mississippiensis (American alligator)
Lineage: Eukaryota; Metazoa; Chordata; Crocodylia; Alligatoridae
Exons: 3
Source: RefSeq, a predicted model, not a curated record
UCCCUGCUAGCAGCCUAGGAGGAAGGAGCUCUCUGCUAUGGAAGAGAGGAGAAGCCUGAUGCAGGAGCAGCAUCUGACACACUGCUGUGAGAUAAAGAAUCCCUGAUGCUGGAGUAUAAGAAAGCAGUGAAAACAGCUAACGGGUCACACUUCAAGAGUGAGAAAUCUCUCUGACACCAGCUGCUGCUGUGCCCAACUUACUCAAGAAGUUGAUGAGAAACAGACCACCUCUUCAUCACCUGUUUGGAACCCUGUCUCAUUCAGUGCACGGACUGGGCUGCUCAAGAAAUAACUGCAACAUUCUUUGGUGAAUCACAUUGUUCUCUGUUACACUGCAGCCUCAUUUACUGCCAGAGAUAGAAGGAAUACAGUAAAUGAGGCUUUAAAAAAAAGCAGGAAGAGCAAAUACAUUUUUGUGCUGAAGGCAGCUGAAUACUGUCUGGAAAAAUUAGAUACUCCCUCUGCCUCUCUCAAUGCUUCAGUGUAAUAGCUUGAAGUGACUUGGCUACACCUGGCUCAGUACCUCAUAGGAUUCAGCUGUAUGUAUCACACAUUACAAGACAGCUAUUUUAGGAAUGCUUUAAAUAAUUUUUUUAAGUUUCUAAAACUGCUUUUCAUAUCCUUUCAUUUGUAACCCAUACAUGUUACUAAAUACAAGUCAAGCUAUAAUUUAGAUUUUGUCCCAGGGGACAGAUUGGUAAAUGGAGGACAGGUAAAUUGGUCAAAAGAAUCAUCAUAAAUUUAUCAUGUGCUCCUGCAAUUUAUCAAAUAAUUGUCAUCUCCGUAUAAUUUGUGUGAUGUAUACAAAUGCACAGUUUUCCAUAUUAUGUAGAAACUUCUCUCUACAGGUCCCAGCAAGAGCAAAGUGCUCACCCUUAGCAUUCUGCUGUUUUACAUUUUUGAUGGCAUUCACCAGCCUGCAGGGCUGAACACUAUCACAUCAGUGAAAGCACUUGGUCAUCAUUUCAGGCAGUAAUUAUUUUUCUACUAAAUUGGAGCUCAAUCCAAAGUAGCCAAAGGAAAGAUUUCUACAUAGGACUUAGUUUCAGGCCCUGGAUGCCAAACACUUCAAAUGGUAUAGAAUAAAAACUACCACCAGCUUUCUCUUACAUCUCUGGGAUUUAAUGCUGUGAAAAAAAUUACUUAAGCAUUACUUUCACUGAGAAGUUACUUAUUGCCUAAUGCAUUAAAUUAAUUUAAAUUUAAUCACUUUAAUCUCAUUACAUUACAAUGUCCUUUGUUUUCCUUAUGCAGCAUACUCACUAGUCCUAAGAUUUAUAGUGAGAGUUUUUUAGUAACAUUUCUGGGUGAGUAAUAUAAUUCACUUGGUUGCUAGGAGUAAAAUACUCUAAAUUGUAUACCAUCUAGAUGCUCACUAAGCCACUCUGUAAUCAGCCUAAUGCUUUAUAAUUUAGAAGUUUUUGAAUAACAUUUAAAAACUUGUAGUGGAAUAGAUUUUUUUUGUCUUGGAAAAAAGUUUAUCGGGCAAGAAAAUAACCUUUCUAAAAUGCUUCAUGUCUUCCGGGCUGCUAUUGUCAUUUAUGAAUAUAGCAUAACAUCUUUCCAUGAGAUGAUACCUCACUAUUAAAAUGAUAAAUCGCACUGAAUGACUAUCUAAUCAAUUUACUUUACUUCAGGAUUUGAAUAUCACUUCUGCAAAAUGAACCAGUGUUUUCAAAACUGUAAUCCUUCAGACGCUUCAUCAGCAAAGUUAACAGGCAUAAUUGUCUUUUUAACGAAAAAAACUUUUGGGUCUUUAUUGCAGGAGCAGAAUGCUAAACAAUCUUUAAAAAGACUUAUUGCUGCUCAGCAAGAGGGCAAGAAAAGCAAAAUACUUGCAGUCUCCAAUAUAAAUACCUUUUUCUAUGAGAUAUAGUAACACUUGCAAGUUGUGAACAUGGUUGAACUGUUAAUUUUUCUCAGCUCUUGGGUGUGAAAAUUAUUUAAAAAUGCAAUCCACAUUGUUUUUUGGGUGUUUAUUAAUUAAAUCCUUUCACUGUGAGUCAGGCUAGAAAGUAAUUUGCCUGAUGGAGAAAGACAAGAAAGAAAGGAAGUUUUGUUACUACAAGGCAUCAAAGCAAACACUUUUGACGUUUUGAAAAAGACCUGGUGGAUGUUAACCUGU